Molecule: ribosomal RNA, 506 nt
Filed under: uncultured bacterium
Lineage: Bacteria
Description: partial 16S ribosomal RNA
Rfam family: Bacterial small subunit ribosomal RNA
Source: RNAcentral
AUUGAACGCUGGCGGCAGGCCUAACACAUGCAAGUCGGACGGUAGCACAGGGGAGCUUGCUCCUCGGGUGACGAGUGGCGGACGGGUGAGUAAUGUCUGGGGAUCUGCCCGAUAGAGGGGGAUAACCACUGGAAACGGUGGCUAAUACCGCAUAAUGUCGCAAGACCAAAGAGGGGGACCUUCGGGCCUCUCACUAUCGGAUGAACCCAGAUGGGAUUAGCUAGUAGGCGGGGUAAUGGCCCACCUAGGCGACGGUCCCUAGCUGGUCUGAGAGGACGACCAGCCACACUGGAACUGAGACACGGUCCAGACUCCUACGGGAGGCAGCAGUGGGGAAUAUUGCACAAUGGGCGCAAGCCUGAUGCAGCCAUGCCGCGUGUAGGAAGAAGGCCUUCGGGUUGUAAUGUACUUUCAGCGGGGAGGAAGGCGAUAAGGUUAAUAACCUUGUCGAUUGACGUUACCCGCAGAAGAAGCACCGGCUAACUCCGUGCCAGCAGCCGCGGUAA